RNAcentral lists this ribosomal RNA (253 nucleotides) under uncultured bacterium. RNAcentral's name for it is "partial 16S ribosomal RNA". It matches the Rfam family "Bacterial small subunit ribosomal RNA", at positions 524 to 776 of the family's 1533-position model. The record is from RNAcentral.
UACGGAGGGUGCAAGCGUUAUCCGGAUUCACUGGGUUUAAAGGGAGCGUAGGCGGAAUAAUAAGUCAGUGGUGAAAGCCCCGGGCUCAACUUGGGAAUUGCCAUUGAUACUGUUAUUCUUGAGUUCGGUUGAGGUAGGCGGAACGUUGCAUGUAGCGGUGAAAUGCUUAGAUAUGCAACAGAACACCGAUUGCGAAGGCAGCUUACCAAGCCGACACUGACGCUGAGGCUCGAAAGCGUGGGGAUCAAACAGG